CUCUUAAGAUUGAGCUGUGAUGGGGAGAGGAACUUGUUCCUCGAGUCGUUGAUUUCACACUGCCGAGAAAAGCCUCUAGCUAGAAUAACGGUGCCCGUACCGCAAACCGACACAGGUAGUCAAGAUGAGAAUUCUAAGGUGAGCGAGCGAACUCUCGUUAAGGAACUCGGCAAAAUGACCCCGUAACUUCGGGAGAAGGGGUGCUCUUUGAGGUUCACGCUUCGAAGAGCCGCAGUGAAUAGGCCCAAGCGACUGUUUAUCAAAAACACAGGUCUCUGCUAAACCGUAAGGUGACGUAUAGGGGCUGACGCCUGCCCGGUGCUGGAAGGUUAAGAGGAGUGGUUAGCGCAAGCGAAGCUACGAAUCGAAGCCCCAGUAAACGGCGGCCGUAACUAUAACGGUCCUAAGGUAGCGAAAUUCCUUGUCGGGUAAGUUCCGACCCGCACGAAAGGCGUAACGAUUUGGGCACUGUCUCAACGAGAGACUCGGUGAAAUCAUAGUACCGGUGAAGAUGCCGGUUACCCGCGACAGGACGGAAAGACCCCGUGGAGCUUUACUGUAGCCUGAUAUUGAAAUUCGGUACAGUUUGUACAGGAUAGGUAGGAGCCUUAGAAGCGUGAGCGCUAGCUUACGUGGAGGCAUUGGUGGGAUACUACCCUAAUUGUAUUGGAUUUCUAACCCGCAGCACUUAUCGUGCUGGGAGACAGUGUCAGGCGGGCAGUUUGACUGGGGCGGUCGCCUCCUAAAGAGUAACGGAGGCGCUCAAAGGUUCCCUCAGAAUGGUUGGAAAUCAUUCAUAGAGUGUAAAGGCAUAAGGGAGCUUGACUGCGAGACCUACAAGUCGAGCAGGGUCGAAAGACGGACUUAGUGAUCCGGUGGUUCCGCAUGGAAGGGCCAUCGCUCAACGGAUAAAAGCUACCCCGGGGAUAACAGGCUUAUCUCCCCCAAGAGUUCACAUCGACGGGGAGGUUUGGCACCUCGAUGUCGGCUCAUCGCAUCCUGGGGCUGUAGUCGGUCCCAAGGGUUGGGCUGUUCGCCCAUUAAAGCGGUACGCGAGCUGGGUUCAGAACGUCGUGAGACAGUUCGGUCCCUAUCCGUCGUGGGCGUAGGAAAUUUGAGAGGAGCUGUCCUUAGUACGAGAGGACCGGGAUGGACAUACCUCUGGUGUACCAGUUGUCGUGCCAACGGCAUAGCUGGGUAGCUAUGUAUGGACGGGAUAAGUGCUGAAAGCAUCUAAGCAUGAAGCCCCCCUCGAGAUGAGAUUUCCCAACUUCGGUUAUAAGAUCCCUCAAAGAUGAUGAGGUGAAUAGGUUCGAGGUGGAAGCGUAGCGAUACGUGGAGCUGACGAAUACUAAUCGAUCGAAGACUUAAUCAA
Molecule: ribosomal RNA, 1375 nt
Filed under: Staphylococcus pseudintermedius
Lineage: Bacteria; Bacillati; Bacillota; Bacilli; Caryophanales; Staphylococcaceae
Description: bacterial LSU rRNA
Rfam family: Bacterial large subunit ribosomal RNA
Source: RNAcentral